Molecule: unclassified non-coding RNA, 342 nt
Filed under: uncultured fungus
Lineage: Eukaryota; Fungi
Description: partial contains small subunit ribosomal RNA, internal transcribed spacer 1, and 5.8S ribosomal RNA
Rfam family: Eukaryotic small subunit ribosomal RNA (bases 1-73)
Source: RNAcentral
GCAAACUUGGUCAUUUAGAGGAAGUAAAAGUCGUAACAAGGUUUCCGUAGGUGAACCUGCGGAAGGAUCAUUAAUGAAUAAACUUGGUUGAGUUGUUGCUGGUUCCUCUGGGGCAUGUGCACACUCACCACCAGUUUUUUCAAACCCCCUGUGCACUUUUUGUAGGCUAGAGACUUAAACGUGAUGAAAUUUGUUUUUCGGAUCGUCUGCUGUCUGGUCUAUGUUUAUUCACACCCCGAAUGGAUGUAACAGAAUGUAUUUGAUAGGCUUUCAAAGGCCUUAUAAUGUAAUACAACUUUCAACAACGGAUCUCUUGGCUCUCGCAUCGAUGAAGAACGCAGC